GUCUAUGGUCAUGCUACCCUGGACAAUCCUGAUCCCCUUUGAUCACGAAAGCUAAGCAGGGUCGGGCCUGGUUAGAACUUGGAUGGGAGACCACUUAGAAAAACCAGAUGCAGUAGGUG
Molecule: ribosomal RNA, 119 nt
Filed under: Pteropus alecto (black flying fox)
Lineage: Eukaryota; Metazoa; Chordata; Mammalia; Chiroptera; Pteropodidae
Source: RNAcentral